GUGUCAAUUUAUAUGUGUGUUUAAUUCCUCUUGUUUUAGAGUUUCAAUUGAAAAUAUCAUCAUGAAGCUAGGAAACAUUUUGCUAACAAUUGGGGUUUUAUUUGUUCUCUUCAGCCUCGCCUAUGGAUAUCCGUUGAUCCAUUGAGACUUUGCCACGAAAGUAUGACAUUGGGUGGAAAAUGUAGCUCUUCAUCUGGUUUCUCUCCAUCUAGUUGCUUUGGAGCAUUCAACAGUAAAUAUGGAGCAAGUGCCGUGACUCAGAAUUGUUCUUGUAAAGAUAAUAAUAAUAAUACUCACGUAUGCACAUGUUGUAUUAAUUGUGUAUAUUCAUCUACUAAAAACUAUUGUUCUUAAUA
This is a non-coding RNA of Cicer arietinum (chickpea), 356 nucleotides long. The record is from RefSeq and is a predicted model, not a curated record. Lineage: Eukaryota; Viridiplantae; Streptophyta; Magnoliopsida; Fabales; Fabaceae.